RNAcentral lists this long non-coding RNA (585 nucleotides) under Homo sapiens (human). Its description in RNAcentral is "non-protein coding lnc-KCNK7-3:1". The record is from RNAcentral. Lineage: Eukaryota; Metazoa; Chordata; Mammalia; Primates; Hominidae.
UGUCUCUACUAAAAAUGCAAAAUUAGUCGGGCGUGGUGGCACAUGCCCAUAAUCCCACUACUCGGGAGGCUGGGGCAGGACAAUCGCUUGAACCCAGGAGGUGGAGGUUGCAGUGAGCCAAGAUCACGCCAUUGCACUCCAGCCUGGGCAACAAGAGCAAAACUCUAUCUUAAGAAAAAAAAAAAAGGAAAAGAAAAGAAAUGUCUGACCUCAAGUAGGUCCUCAAGAUCUAGACCAAGUCACCUCUGUGCCCCCAGGACCCAGCCAGGAUGUCCGUCAGAUGAGUUUGCUCCCAGCUCUUACCCUGUCCCCACCACCUGAUCCUGGAGCAUCCACAAUCUGGCCCCUCUUCUCUAGUUUUGCUGCUGCAGCCCAUUGAGAGUGACGACAUGGAGCACAAGACCCUGAAGAUCACCGACUUUGGCCUGGCCCGAGAGUGGCACAAAACCACACAAAUGAGUGCCGCGGGCACCUACGCCUGGAUGGCUCCUGAGGUUAUCAAGGCCUCCACCUUCUCUAAGGGCAGUGACGUCUGGAGUUUUGGGGUGCUGCUGUGGGAACUGCUGACCGGGGAGGUGCCAUACC